Molecule: microRNA precursor, 61 nt
Filed under: Echinops telfairi (small Madagascar hedgehog)
Lineage: Eukaryota; Metazoa; Chordata; Mammalia; Afrosoricida; Tenrecidae
Description: Ete-Mir-769_pre stem-loop
Source: RNAcentral
CAAGACCUCUGGGUUCUGAGCCCUGAUGUGGCUGCCGAGCUGGGAUCUCCGGGGUUUUGGU